Molecule: ribosomal RNA, 465 nt
Filed under: uncultured bacterium
Lineage: Bacteria
Description: partial 16S ribosomal RNA
Rfam family: Bacterial small subunit ribosomal RNA
Source: RNAcentral
GAUGAACGCUGGCGGCGUGCUUAACACAUGCAAGUCGAACGGUGAAAGAGAGCUUGCUCUCUGGAUCAGUGGCGAACGGGUGAGUAACACGUGAGCAAUCUGCCCCUGACUCUGGGAUAAGCGCUGGAAACGGCGUCUAAUACCGGAUACGAGCUGCGAAGGCAUCUUCAGCAGCUGGAAAGAACUUCGGUCAGGGAUGAGCUCGCGGCCUAUCAGCUAGUUGGUGAGGUAACGGCUCACCAAGGCGUCGACGGGUAGCCGGCCUGAGAGGGUGACCGGCCACACUGGGACUGAGACACGGCCCAGACUCCUACGGGAGGCAGCAGUGGGGAAUAUUGCACAAUGGGCGAAAGCCUGAUGCAGCAACGCCGCGUGAGGGACGACGGCCUUCGGGUUGUAAACCUCUUUUAGCAGGGAAGAAGCGAAAGUGACGGUACCUGCAGAAAAAGCACCGGCUAACUACGU